RNAcentral lists this non-coding RNA (31 nucleotides) under Rattus norvegicus (Norway rat). The record is from RNAcentral. Lineage: Eukaryota; Metazoa; Chordata; Mammalia; Rodentia; Muridae.
UCACAGCCAGCAUAACCUACCAAAGGCUAGU